GCUUACGGCCACACCAACCUGGCUAUGCCCGAUCUCGUCUGAUCUCGGAAGCUAAGCAGGUUUGGGCCUGUUUAGUACAUGGAUGGGAGACUGCCUGGGAAUACCAGGUGCUUUAAACU
RNAcentral lists this ribosomal RNA (119 nucleotides) under Carassius auratus (goldfish). The record is from RNAcentral. Lineage: Eukaryota; Metazoa; Chordata; Actinopteri; Cypriniformes; Cyprinidae.